GAUGAACGCUAGCUACAGGCUUAACACAUGCAAGUCGAGGGGCAGCAUUGGGAUAGCUUGCUAUUCCAGAUGGCGACCGGCGCACGGGUGAGUAACGCGUAUCCAACCUUCCCCAUAGUAGGGCACAGCCCGGCGAAAGUCGGAUUAAUUCCCUAUGCAGUCCAGAGAGGACAUCUGACCUGGACGAAAGAUUCAUCGCUAUGGGAUGGGGAUGCGUCUGAUUAGGUUGCAGGCGAGGUAAAUGCUCACCAAGGCGACGAUCGGUAGCCGGGUUGAGAGACUGAACGGCCACAUUGGAACUGAGACACGGUCCAAACUCCUACGGGAGGCAGCAGUGAGGAAUAUUGGUCAAUGGGCGAGAGCCUGAACCAGCCAAGUAGCGUGCAGGAUGACGGCCCUAUGGGUUGUAAACUGCUUUUGCAUGGGAAUAAAGUGAGGCACGUGUGCCUUUUUGUAUGUACCAUGAGAAUAAGGACCGGCUAAUUCCGUGCCAGCAGCCGCCGCAAGAA
RNAcentral lists this ribosomal RNA (509 nucleotides) under uncultured bacterium. RNAcentral's name for it is "bacterial SSU rRNA". It matches the Rfam family "Bacterial small subunit ribosomal RNA", at positions 28 to 526 of the family's 1533-position model. The record is from RNAcentral.